This 253-nucleotide ribosomal RNA is filed under the name uncultured bacterium. RNAcentral's name for it is "partial 16S ribosomal RNA". It matches the Rfam family "Bacterial small subunit ribosomal RNA", at positions 524 to 776 of the family's 1533-position model. The record is from RNAcentral.
UACGUAGGGUGCGAGCGUUGUCCGGAAUUAUUGGGCGUAAAGAGCGUGUAGGCGGCCAGGUAGGUCCGCUGUGAAAACUCGAGGCUUAACCUCGAGAUGUCGGUGGAAACCAUCUGGCUAGAGUCCGGAAGAGGAGAGUGGAAUUCCUGGUGUAGCGGUGAAAUGCGCAGAUAUCAGGAAGAACACCCGUGGCGAAGGCGGCUCUCUGGGACGGUACUGACGCUGAGGCGCGAAAGCGUGGGGAGCGAACAGG